This 468-nucleotide ribosomal RNA is filed under the name uncultured bacterium. RNAcentral describes it as "partial 16S ribosomal RNA". It matches the Rfam family "Bacterial small subunit ribosomal RNA", at positions 28 to 523 of the family's 1533-position model. The record is from RNAcentral.
GAUGAACGCUGGCGGCGUGCCUAACACAUGCAAGUCGAGCGAUCUUCUUCGGAAGAGAGCGGCGGACGGGUGAGUAACGCGUGGGUAACCUGCCCUGUACACACGGAUAACAUACCGAAAGGUAUGCUAAUACGAGAUGAUAUGCUUUUAUCGCAUGGUAGAAGUAUCAAAGCUCCGGCGGUACAGGAUGGACCCGCGUCUGAUUAGCUAGUUGGUAAGGUAACGGCUUAGCAAGGCGACGAUCAGUAGCCGACCUGAGAGGGUGAUCGGCCACAUUGGAACUGAGACACGGUCCAAAGUGCUACGGGAGGCAGCAGUGGGGAAUAUUGCACGAUGGGCGAAAGCCUGAUGCAGCAACGCCGCGUGAGCGAUGAAGGCCUUCGGGUCGUAAAGCUCUGUCCUCAAGGAAGAUAAUGACGGUACUUGAGGAGGAAGCCCCGGCUAACUACGUGCCAGCCGCCGCAGUAA